RNAcentral lists this small RNA (137 nucleotides) under Planomonospora parontospora subsp. sphaerica. Its description in RNAcentral is "Planomonospora sphaerica c-di-AMP sequence". It matches the Rfam family "c-di-AMP riboswitch aptamer (ydaO/yuaA leader)". From Rfam's summary of the family: This family represents a conserved RNA structure found upstream of the ydaO and yuaA genes in Bacillus subtilis and related genes in other bacteria. Lineage: Bacteria; Bacillati; Actinomycetota; Actinomycetes; Streptosporangiales; Streptosporangiaceae. The record is from Rfam by way of RNAcentral.
AGGGCCGGCAUGCCUAAUCCCGGGCGAAGCGCCCGGGAGCCGGGGAACCACCGCACCUGGGGUGAACCACGUUCCGUGGAAGGGCGUCCUCCCGCCCGAACCCGUCAGCUAACCCGGUCGGCCGAAGGAGAGGAGAG